Myxocyprinus asiaticus (Chinese sucker) is the source of this 3084-nucleotide RNA transcript. RefSeq lists it as uncharacterized. The transcript has 7 exons. The record is from RefSeq and is a predicted model, not a curated record. NCBI's taxonomy places the organism in Eukaryota, Metazoa, Chordata, Actinopteri, Cypriniformes, Catostomidae.
UGAACAAGGAAGCGCAAUGGAGAUCUACAAAUCAGUUGUUUUUUUAGUGACCACCAUAUGCAUAUUCACAACAUUCUCUGUGCAAGAUGAUAUAACUAAGGGAUUGAGACACCUGGAGGCUGACUGCUGUAAAUCUAAAGCCUACAAUCCUGUGAAUGAGAUUUGCUGUGAUGGUCACCUUCUGACAAGAAACAGCUCUCAAGCGAAGUGCUGUGGCUCAGGUAGAUGAUCCACUUGAAAUCAUAUGAGUGCAGUUAGGCUGUGGAGUUUGGAGUUUAUAAUUUAGCUUUACAAAAUAAAAAAAUAUAACUUUGUAGAAUUUUAUAAACCCUAUAACAAACCACUGUUCAAUUUCUAUUGACAUACUAUAUAUUUAUCAGAAUCAGAUUGAGCUUUAUUGCCAAGUAUGCUUCCACAUACAAGGAAUUUUUCUUGGUGACAGAAGCUUCCAGUGCACAAACAAUACAACAAGACUAUUAUAUUAAAAAUAGAAUAAAAAUAAAAAGUGAAUAGAAAUAUAAGUAUAUAUAGAAAUACACAAGACAAUAUGUAUAUAUAUAUGUGUGUGUGUGUGUGUGUGUGUGUGUGUGUGUGUGUGUGCGUGCGUGCGUGUGUGUGUGUAUGUAUGUAUGUAUGUAUAAUGUGUACAAAUAGAAAUCUGUUAUAUUCAGUGCAAGGGAAUGUAAUGCAGAAGAGUUAGGAUAUGUUAAAUAAUAUAACUGACUAGGCUGUGCACGUACUUAUAGUAUAGUUUUUAACUGUUCAUAAGAUGGAUGAUAUAUUUAUAAACAUAUAUUUGACAUGGUAACAAGAUUUUUGUUAAAUUUUUGUUUGAUAAUCAUACCUUUUGAUUAAGGAUGUUCUUUAAUGACUUUGUUCUCUCUUAUACUAAUUUACAGAAAUGUACCUAAUGACGACUCACUUGUGUUGUGAUGGCACUUUACCCACUCUGCAGAAAAAUAAUUCUUGUUGUGGCAAGAAUUCAUAUAACAAUGAAACCCACUGCUUCUGUAAUGAUGCGGAUCCAGAAAGCGAUCUAGAAGUGAAGCCCAAGUCCGAAAAUGGACAAUGCUGUUCAGGUUUAUGUGUUGACAGCUCUAAGAAAGUAAUCUCUUACAGAGUUGUAGAGAAAACCAACUGACAACAUGGUUAACACGAUCUGAUUUGAUUUGUGUUGCAUCACUGUACUGUUGCUACUCUUUUCAGUUCCUUCUCAAAAGAUACUACUAUCUUUCCCAUUUUAUUUUUUGCUCUUUUUGAUCAGGUGGCCCUUGCCCUGCAACAAGCCGAACGGAUGUGUGAAUCAGCACACUACAAUUCAACAAAUAUCUGUUGCUCAGGGAUACUGUAUAAGAGGCAAUCAAGUCUUACUCAGUGCUGUGGUGAAUAUCUCUACAGUCUAUCAGAUGAGAAGGUGCAAUGCUGCAAUGGAAUCCUUUAAUGCAACUUGCCUGGACAGUCAGAGUGUGUUGGAGGUGUUAUAUAUACUCAAGAUAAGAUGAAGAAGAGUUGUGGCUCUGAAGUCUACGACCACAACAACAAGUUCUUAAAGUGUUGCUCGGGUCAUCUUAACAACAUAUCCCACUUGGACAGGAAAACAGAGUGCUGUGGAAUCCGUUUGCUGAAAGAUAAAACAAAAAACAUUUGCUGUUCCUCUGCAAGCCAUGCCAUGCUUUAUGAAACCAAAGACAACCAUGCAUGCUGUGGGCAAUACUAUUACAACAAAUCCCUGUGGAGCUGCUGCGCUGAACAUCUCAAACCAACACCAUCCAAAACCAGCACUGGACAAAAUGUUUUGCCAGGGAAGACUGACAACUCUUCUCCACUGUACAGACUUAAGCCACUAUUGGAGCUGAUCCCUGACAUAUGCAAUAAAACAGUGCUCUUUGGCAAAGUGGAGAGUGUGGCACUUUACAAUAAUGUGCGUCACAUUGUGUUGGGAGUUUUUAUGACAGCAAAUAAAGUCAUCAAAAAGAGGAUACUUAAUGUGCCGCUAGAUCACUGCAGCUCCCCUGCCCUUGAGAAUGGCAUGACCUACCUUUGGGAGGAAAACGCCCCAACCAAAGAUUUGAAGGAAAUGUCAACUACAAGCCUCUCUCCAUCCCUGUUGUCCCAAAUUUUGACAUUCACUUGGUAUUUACUCUUUGUAAAAAAAAAAUCUCACGGAGGCCUUAAUGCGAAGUGUUGCUUGAACAGAUUACUUGACCAGGUUUGUGAUUUGCUAUAUGAGUAAUCGAACACAUUAGGAAAUCCGCAUAGGUAUUUUAUGUAGCUGAUCAGUGCUUUUCACUUCCUUUGGAUUUGGAUUUUAUCACAAGAAUGGGUUGAUCCUAUUUGAGAUGAUGUAUUAAGCUUGUAUAUUUGAUCAGUAAGGUCAUUUUAAAACUAGCUACUAUUCAAAUGUAACCACAUACCAGGAAAUGUGUUCUAUUUCAUCCAAUGUUUAGUUCCUUAGAAAAUAGUUUUCUACCUAAAUGACAUAUUGCUGUGCAGUGUUAAUGCUUUACAUUGCAAUAUGUACUGCAUGGUCUAAUAUGUUUUUAUCAAGUACUGUAUUUUGAUCUUUCAACAAUCUCAGGUGUGUUUCAAUUUACUAUUCCAUGUUUUGUUUAGUUUUUUUCAAUCCUGCUAUGUAAGCUCAAAGGUGCUUUCAAAAUUGUUGGAUUGUUGAUGAUUUUUGUUAUUUAAAAACCAAAAAUUGCUUCCAUCCUAAUUCGUGAUUUAAAAAAGCAGUUUCUUACAUAUGUUUUAUGAAGAUGAUGCAGUUAUGCAUUCUAGACUUAUUCCAUUGCUUUACUAAUUUAUAGAUUUGCUGUACUUUUGCUGUAUUAUUAACACUGUAUCCUUUGCAAAUACAUUAUCUAUAAACUCUGUAAUAAUCGCAAAGACUCUUUUGUACAAAAUACAAACUAUAUGUAUAAAGUAUAUACAUUUGCAAAGACAAACUUAUCACACAACUUUUAAAUUUGUUGUGCUGCUGACAGUUUGAGUAUGAGCGUUACGGAGUGCAAACAUGGAACCGUUCAGCAAGUAUAUUUCCAUCACUUGCAAAUGUAUAUCAAAUCUGUGUUUUCCAAAUAAAUA